RNAcentral lists this ribosomal RNA (736 nucleotides) under Paraphysomonas sp. Its description in RNAcentral is "eukaryotic LSU rRNA". It matches the Rfam family "Eukaryotic large subunit ribosomal RNA", at positions 113 to 887 of the family's 3401-position model. Lineage: Eukaryota; Chrysophyceae; Chromulinales; Paraphysomonadaceae. The record is from RNAcentral.
ACUGAAAAUCCUGUAAAAGGGAAUUGUAGUCUGUCGAAGUGAAGUCAAUUUAUAAUAUGAAGUCAAGUCUUUAAGAAAACUGUACCAUGGAGGGUGAUAGUCCCGUUUAAACUUGAUAUUUUAAAUGUACGACUAACUUUCAAUGAGUCGAGUUGCUUGGGAUUGCAGCUCAAAGUGGGUGGUAAAUUCCAUCUAAAGCUAAAUAUUGGUGGGAGACCGAUAGUGAACAAGUACCGUGAGGGAAAGAUGCAAAGAACUUUGAAAAGAGAGUUAAAGAGUACCUGAAAUUGCUGAAAUGGAACCGAUGGGAGAUAGUGUUAACAUAUAAAUAUUUUAUAUAAUUUGUAUACAAAUUAUAUGUGAUAUUAUAUGUAAGUUAAACUUUUUUUAUGAUUGUAAAAGAAAUAUAUUAAUUAUAAAUUUUUAACAAAAUUUUAAUAUAAUUUAUUAUAAUUUAAAAAGACUUUAACAAAAUAUCUCUUAUCAACCCGUCUUGAAACACGGACCAAGGAGUCUAACAUGUGUGCAAGUACUAUAGGGUAUAUAAUCCUAUAUUGCGUAAUUAAUGUGAAAUAUUUUAAUGAUAGGAUUUUUUAUUAAAACACUAUCUACCGACCAUGAUCCUAUGGGUGAAAGGUUUGAGUGUGAGCAUACAUGUUGGGACCCGAAAGAUGGUGAACUAUGCUUGAGUAGGAUGAAGCCAGGGGAAACUCUGGUGGAGGUCCGUAGCGAUUCU